AGCGAACGCUGGCGGCAGGCUUAACACAUGCAAGUCGAGCGGGCAUCCUUGUGGUGUCAGCGGCAGACGGGUGAGUAACGCGUGGGAACGUGCCCUUCGGUUCGGAAUAACUCAGGGAAACUUGAGCUAAUACCGGAUACGUGCGAGAGCAGAAAGGUUUAUCUGCCGAAGGAUCGGCCCGCGUCUGAUUAGCUAGUUGGUGAGGUUACGGCUCACCAAGGCGACGAUCAGUAGCUGGUCUGAGAGGAUGAUCAGCCACACUGGGACUGAGACACGGCCCAGACUCCUACGGGAGGCAGCAGUGGGGAAUAUUGGACAAUGGGGGCAACCCCGAUCCAGCCAUGCCGCGUGAGUGAUGACGGCCUUAGGGUUGUAAAGCUCUUUUCUCCGGGACGAUAAUGACGGUACCGGAGGAAUAAGCCCCGGCUAACUUCGUG
RNAcentral lists this ribosomal RNA (437 nucleotides) under uncultured bacterium. RNAcentral's name for it is "partial 16S ribosomal RNA". It matches the Rfam family "Bacterial small subunit ribosomal RNA", at positions 29 to 507 of the family's 1533-position model. The record is from RNAcentral.